GACGAACGCUGGCGGCGUGCCUAAUACAUGCAAGUAGAACGCUGAAGAGAGGAGCUUGCUCUUCUUGGCUGAGUUGCGAACGGGUGAGUAACGCGUAGGUAACCUGCCUGGUAGCGGGGGAUAACUAUUGGAAACGAUAGCUAAUACCGCAUAAAAUUGAUUAUUGCAUGAUAAUUAAUUGAAAGAUGCAACUGCAUCACUACCAGAUGGACCUGCGUUGUAUUAGCUAGUUGGUGAGGUAACGGCUCACCAAGGCGACGAUACAUGGCCGACCUGAGAGGGUGAUCGGCCACACUGGGACUGAGACACGGCCCAGACUCCUACGGGAGGCAGCAGUAGGGAAUCUUCGGCAAUGGGGGGAACCCUGACCGAGCAACGCCGCGUGAGUGAAGAAGGUUUUCGGAUCGUAAAGCUCUGUUGUAAGAGAAGAACGGGUGUGAGAGUGGAAAGUUCACACUGUGACGGUAUCUUACCAGAAAGGGACGGCUAACUACGUG
Molecule: ribosomal RNA, 497 nt
Filed under: uncultured bacterium
Lineage: Bacteria
Description: partial 16S ribosomal RNA
Rfam family: Bacterial small subunit ribosomal RNA
Source: RNAcentral